RNAcentral lists this ribosomal RNA (668 nucleotides) under Isoptericola sp. DBQ_18S. RNAcentral describes it as "bacterial SSU rRNA". It matches the Rfam family "Bacterial small subunit ribosomal RNA", at positions 766 to 1433 of the family's 1533-position model. Lineage: Bacteria; Bacillati; Actinomycetota; Actinomycetes; Micrococcales; Promicromonosporaceae. The record is from RNAcentral.
GAGCGAACAGGAUUAGAUACCCUGGUAGUCCAUGCCGUAAACGUUGGGCACUAGGUGUGGGACUCAUUCCACGAGUUCCGUGCCGCAGCUAACGCAUUAAGUGCCCCGCCUGGGGAGUACGGCCGCAAGGCUAAAACUCAAAGGAAUUGACGGGGGCCCGCACAAGCGGCGGAGCAUGCGGAUUAAUUCGAUGCAACGCGAAGAACCUUACCAAGGCUUGACAUGCACCGGACGCUGCCAGAGAUGGUGGUUCCGCAAGGUCGGUGCACAGGUGGUGCAUGGUUGUCGUCAGCUCGUGUCGUGAGAUGUUGGGUUAAGUCCCGCAACGAGCGCAACCCUUGUCCUAUGUUGCCAGCGGGUUAUGCCGGGGACUCAUGGGAGACUGCCGGGGUCAACUCGGAGGAAGGCGGGGAUGACGUCAAAUCAUCAUGCCCCUUAUGUCUUGGGCUUCACGCAUGCUACAAUGGCCGGUACAGAGGGCUGCGAUACCGUAAGGUGGAGCGAAUCCCAAAAAGCCGGUCUCAGUUCGGAUUGGGGUCUGCAACUCGACCCCAUGAAGUCGGAGUCGCUAGUAAUCGCAGAUCAGCAACGCUGCGGUGAAUACGUUCCCGGGCCUUGUACACACCGCCCGUCAAGUCACGAAAGUUGGUAACACCCGAAGCUCACGG